Molecule: small nuclear RNA, 197 nt
Organism: Neoarius graeffei (lesser salmon catfish)
Lineage: Eukaryota; Metazoa; Chordata; Actinopteri; Siluriformes; Ariidae
Product: U2 spliceosomal RNA
Exons: 1
Source: RefSeq, a predicted model, not a curated record
AUGCCUUCUUUCGGCCUUUUUGCUAAGAUCAUGUGUAGUGUCUGUUCUUAUCAGUUUAAUAUCUGAUACGUCCCCUACCCAGGGACCAUAUGUUAAAUUGAUUUUUGGGACCAGGAGAUGGAAUAGGGGCUUGCUUCGUCCACACUGCGAGUUGGCCUAGUGGUUAGCAUGUCUGCCUCUCGAUCAGGUCAUACCAA